AGUUUGAUCCUGGCUCAGAUUGAACGCUGGCGGAAUGCUUUACACAUGCAAGUCGAACGGUAGAGGGGCAACCCUUGAGAGUGGCGAACGGGUGAGUAAUAUAUCGGAACGUGCCCAGUCGUGGGGGAUAACGUAGCGAAAGUUACGCUAAUACCGCAUACGAUCUACGGAUGAAAGCGGGGGAUCGCAAGACCUCGCGCGAUUGGAGCGGCCGAUAUCAGAUUAGGUAGUUGGUGAGGUAAAGGCUCACCAAGCCGACGAUCUGUAGCUGGUCUGAGAGGACGACCAGCCACACUGGGACUGAGACACGGCCCAGACUCCUACGGGAGGCAGCAGUGGGAAUUUUGGACAAUGGGCGCAAGCCUGAUCCAGCAAUGCCGCGUGCAGGAUGAAGGCCUUCGGGUUGUAAACUGCUUUGUACGGAACGAAACGGUGAGCUCUAAUACAGUUUGCUAAUGACGGUACCGUAAGAAUAAGCACCGGCUAACUACGUG
This 494-nucleotide ribosomal RNA is filed under the name uncultured bacterium. Its description in RNAcentral is "bacterial SSU rRNA". It matches the Rfam family "Bacterial small subunit ribosomal RNA", at positions 10 to 507 of the family's 1533-position model. The record is from RNAcentral.